CCUACGGGAGGCUGCAGUGGGGAAUAUUGCGCAAUGGGCGAAAGCCUGACGCAGCGAUGCCGCGUGAAGGAUGACGGUCUUCGGAUCGGAAACCUCUGUCAGCAGGGAAGAACGCUCACUGUGCUAAUCAGCAGUGAAUUUACGGUACCUGCAAAGGAAGCAUCGGCUAACUCCGUGCGAGCAGCCGCGAUAAUACGGAGGGUGCGAGCGUUAAUCGGAUUUACUGGGCGUAAAGGGCUCGUAGGCGGUAUGUCAAGUCAAGGGUGAAAUCUCCGCGCUCAACGCGGGAACUGCCUUUAAUACUGGUAAACUGGAGUGUGUGAGAGGAUAGUGGAAUGUCAGGUGUAGGAGUGAAAUGCGUAGAUAUC
This 368-nucleotide ribosomal RNA is filed under the name uncultured bacterium. RNAcentral's name for it is "partial 16S ribosomal RNA". It matches the Rfam family "Bacterial small subunit ribosomal RNA", at positions 338 to 698 of the family's 1533-position model. The record is from RNAcentral.